GAAACGAGUAGAGUGGCGCACGGGUGAGUAACGCGUAGGUAAUCUACCCUUAUAUUUGGGAUAACAGACCGAAAGGUCUGCUAAUACCGGAUAGUCUUUUUUUAAUGCGAGUUAGAGAGAGUAAAGGUGGCCUCUUCAUGAAAGCUACCGUAUAGGGAUGAGCCUGCGUACCAUUAGCUAGUAGGUGGGGUAACGGCCCACCUAGGCAACGAUGGUUAGCGGGUCUGAGAGGAUGAUCCGCCACACUGGAACUGGAACACGGACCAGACUCCUACGGGAGGCAGCAGUGAGGAAUAUUGCGCAAUGGGGGCAACCCUGACGCAGCGACGCCGCGUGAGUGAGGAAGGUUUUCGGAUCGUAAAGCUCUGUCAGAAGGGAAGAAGUGUUAUAUGGUUAACACCCAUAUAAUUUGACGGUACCUUCAGAGGAAGCACCGGCUAACUCCGUGCCAGCAGCCGCGGUAAUACGGAGGGUGCAAGCGUUGUUCGGAAUUACUGGGCGUAAAGGGCGCGUAGGCGGCUUGAUAAGUCAGAUGUGAAAGUCCAUGGCUCAACUGUGGAAGUGCAUUUGAAACUGUCUGGCUUGAGUAUUGGAGGGGAAAGUGGAAUUCCCGGUGUAGAGGUGAAAUUCGUAGAGAUCGGGAGGAACACCUGUGGC
RNAcentral lists this ribosomal RNA (657 nucleotides) under uncultured bacterium. RNAcentral's name for it is "bacterial SSU rRNA". It matches the Rfam family "Bacterial small subunit ribosomal RNA", at positions 83 to 716 of the family's 1533-position model. The record is from RNAcentral.